Molecule: ribosomal RNA, 261 nt
Filed under: Salmonella enterica
Lineage: Bacteria; Pseudomonadati; Pseudomonadota; Gammaproteobacteria; Enterobacterales; Enterobacteriaceae
Also listed under: 1 other name
Description: partial 23S ribosomal RNA
Rfam family: Bacterial large subunit ribosomal RNA
Source: RNAcentral
ACACUAACUGGAGGACCGAACCGACUAAUGUUGAAAAAUUAGCGGAUGACCUGUGGCUGGGGGUGAAAGGCCAAUCAAACCGGGAGAUAGCUGGUUCUCCCCGAAAGCUAUUUAGGUAGCGCCUCGUGAACUCAUCUCCGGGGGUAGAGCACUGUUUCGGCUAGGGGGCCAUCCCGGCUUACCAACCCGAUGCAAACUGCGAAUACCGGAGAAUGUUAUCACGGGAGACACACGGCGGGUGCUAACGUCCGUCGUGAAGAG